RNAcentral lists this ribosomal RNA (253 nucleotides) under uncultured bacterium. RNAcentral describes it as "partial 16S ribosomal RNA". It matches the Rfam family "Bacterial small subunit ribosomal RNA", at positions 524 to 776 of the family's 1533-position model. The record is from RNAcentral.
UACGUAGGGCGCAAGCGUUGUCCGGAAUUAUUGGGCGUAAAGAGCUCGUAGGCGGCUUGUCACGUCGGGUGUGAAAGCCCGGGGCUUAACCCCGGGUCUGCAUUCGAUACGGGCAGGCUAGAGUGUGGUAGGGGAGAUCGGAAUUCCUGGUGUAGUGGUGAAAUGCGCAGAUAUCAGGAGGAACACCGGUGGCGAAGGCGGAUCUCUGGGCCAUUACUGACGCUGAGGAGCGAAAGCGUGGGGAGCGAACAGG